Molecule: long non-coding RNA, 838 nt
Organism: Nyctereutes procyonoides (raccoon dog)
Lineage: Eukaryota; Metazoa; Chordata; Mammalia; Carnivora; Canidae
Exons: 3
Source: RefSeq, a predicted model, not a curated record
UCGCUGUAGGCGGAGGACGAGAGCUCCUCGCGCGGGGUGCAGGCCGGGCACCGCCGACGCAUGUCGUCCCAGCACGACUGGCAGUACACGGCCCCGCAGUCCGGCGUCGGGCACAGAUGAGAAAACAUGUGUGGAAAGGCAGUCUCUUGCCCUGAGUUACAUGGUGACAGCUAGUGUGUGCAUGGAGCUUGCUAGGUGCCUGCUCCAUGAGAGUGAGACUCCCUUCGUUUUUCCAACAACCAGAUGGAACAGUAGUUCACUCUGUGUUCCAGAAGGGAAAAACUGACGGCCAGCAUUUAAAAGUAGGUGCUGAUAUAGAUGUUGUCAAAGCGGAUGUCGCCAUUGUAGCUGUCCACAUAGGAGAAGGACCUGUGCAUGAAGACAUCUCCAUGUCCUCCAAGCUCUCUUCACCCAUCCCCAACCACGGGCUUCCUGAUGCUCGGUCAUUCCCCAGACCACCCAGCAUGGCAGAGACACUCUGUCAGCAGCCUGCAGUCUGGUGCAAGGUGGGUACCCAUACAAGCAAGGAGACACAGGUGAAAAGGCAGGGAGGAUCAUGUGCCCAGGCGAGAGGGGAGGUUUCCCAGGUGUGGAUCCAGCUGGCGGGAUCUCAAGCAGAGGAAGCAGCAGGAGCAAAGGCAGAGAGAGGCGGGGAACCCCUCAAGGCUACAGAACCACCAGCCAGGGAUCCCUGGGUGGCGCAGUGGUUUGGUGCCUGCCUUUGGCCCAGGGCGCAAUCCUGGAGACCCAGGAUCGAAUCCCACAUCGGGCUCCCGGUGCAUGGAGCCUGCUUCUCCCUCUGCCUGUGUGUGUCUCUGCCUCUCUCUCUCUCUCUCUC